Daphnia pulex (common water flea) is the source of this 467-nucleotide long non-coding RNA. RefSeq lists it as uncharacterized. The transcript has 4 exons. NCBI's taxonomy places the organism in Eukaryota, Metazoa, Arthropoda, Branchiopoda, Diplostraca, Daphniidae. The record is from RefSeq and is a predicted model, not a curated record.
CCCAUUUCGGCGAUGGUGGAACUAGCGGAACAGCUCAACAGCAACAUUAAGCCGAGAGUAAUCGUAUGAAACGUCGCCAAAACUACACUUGACCUAGUCAAUGGACAACGCUUGACAAGAAUGUGAUGACACCAAAACCCAAAUUCAUGGAGAGUACAGUAUCGGUAAUGGCUCUAAUCCACAGGGAGAUUGAAAGCAUCUUCCCCCAAGAUGGUGCAAGAAAAUAGGCCAAUCCUGAAUACAUUUGUAAUGGGUUGGAAUAGGUGGCCCUGGCCACGAGGAUGACAAUCAAUGUCACAGAAUACCUUGCUGAUAAAUUUGAGUCCACAAAUAACUGUUAGGACUGCAAACACCCAGGAUUAGAGAUUAUAAAUAGCUGCUCCGGAGCCAGGCUGGGUUGCGAAAACGACUUGCUCCAAAUUGCGAUCAACAGCUGCCGGCAAGCUCUUGUAGUAAUUUUCUUUCAG